GCCCCGCUGGCGGAAUCGGCAUACGCGCUGGUCUCAGGAACCAGUCCUUCCGGGUUCGAAUCCCGGGCGGGGUACCA
This 77-nucleotide transfer RNA is filed under the name Usitatibacter rugosus. RNAcentral's name for it is "Nitrosomonadales bacterium 0125_3 tRNA-Leu". It matches the Rfam family "tRNA". Rfam says of the family: Transfer RNA (tRNA) molecules are approximately 80 nucleotides in length. Their secondary structure includes four short double-helical elements and three loops (D, anti-codon, and T loops). Further hydrogen bonds mediate the characteristic L-shaped molecular structure. tRNAs have two regions of fundamental functional importance: the anti-codon, which is responsible for specific mRNA codon recognition, and the 3' end, to which the tRNAs corresponding amino acid is attached (by aminoacyl-tRNA synthetases). tRNAs cope with the degeneracy of the genetic code in two manners: having more than one tRNA (with a specific anti-codon) for a particular amino acid; and 'wobble' base-pairing, i.e. permitting non-standard base-pairing at the 3rd anti-codon position. Lineage: Bacteria; Pseudomonadati; Pseudomonadota; Betaproteobacteria; Nitrosomonadales; Usitatibacteraceae. The record is from RNAcentral.